This 97-nucleotide transfer RNA is filed under the name Cellulosimicrobium cellulans. RNAcentral describes it as "tRNA-Gly". Lineage: Bacteria; Bacillati; Actinomycetota; Actinomycetes; Micrococcales; Promicromonosporaceae. The record is from RNAcentral.
CGGGUGAGUGGGCGAGCUUGACGCCGCCGGCCUUGCCGCGGCCGCCGGUCUUCACCUGGGCCUUGACGACCACGGUGCCGCCGCCGAGCUUCUCGGC